CUUUUAGGAGCCAGCCGCCGAAGGUGGGACAGAUGAUUGGGGUGAAGUCGUAACAAGGUAGCCGUAUCGGAAGGUGCGGCUGGAUCACCUCCUUUCUAAGGA
This 102-nucleotide ribosomal RNA is filed under the name Bacillus sp. Ru63. RNAcentral describes it as "partial 16S ribosomal RNA". It matches the Rfam family "Bacterial small subunit ribosomal RNA", at positions 1439 to 1533 of the family's 1533-position model. Lineage: Bacteria; Bacillati; Bacillota; Bacilli; Caryophanales; Bacillaceae. The record is from RNAcentral.